ACGGGUGAGUAACGCGUAUCCAACCUUCCCCUUAGUAGGGCAUAGCCCGGUGAAAAUCGGAUUAAUACCCUAUGUUCUUCACAGCAGACAUCUAACGUGAAGCAAAGGUUUACCGCUAAGGGAUGGGGAUGCGUCUGAUUAGGUAGUAGGCGGGGUAACGGCCCACCUAGCCUUCGAUCAGUAGGGGUUCUGAGAGGAAGGUCCCCCACAUUGGAACUGAGACACGGUCCAAACUCCUACGGGAGGCAGCAGUGAGGAAUAUUGGUCAAUGGGCGAGAGCCUGAACCAGCCAAGUAGCGUGCAGGAUGACGGCCCUAUGGGUUGUAAACUGCUUUUAUAUGGGGAUAAAGUUCACCACGUGUGGUGUUUUGCAGGUACCAUAUGAAUAAGGACCGGCUAAUUCCGUGCCAGCAGCCGCGGUAAUACGGAAGGUCCGGGCGUUAUCCGGAUUUAUUGGGUUUAAAGGGAGCGCAGGCGGCCUUUUAAGCGUGACGUGAAAUGUGGAUGCUCAACAUCUGAACUGCGUCGCGAACUGGAGGGCUUGAGUGGGUACGACGCCGGCGGAAUUCGUGGUGUAGCGGUGAAAUGCUUAGAUAUCACGAAGAACCCCGAUUGCGAAGGCAGCCGGCGAGUCCUCAACUGACGCUAAAGCUCGAAAGUGCGGGUAUCGAACAGGAUUAGAUACCCUGGUAGUCCGCACGGUAAACGAUGGAUGCCCGCUGUUGGCGAUACAAUGUCAGCGGCCAAGCGAAAGCGUUAAGCAUCCCACCUGGGGAGUACGCCGGCAACGGUGAAACUCAAAUGAAUUGACGG
Molecule: ribosomal RNA, 813 nt
Filed under: uncultured bacterium
Lineage: Bacteria
Description: bacterial SSU rRNA
Rfam family: Bacterial small subunit ribosomal RNA
Source: RNAcentral